Long non-coding RNA from Ictalurus punctatus (channel catfish), 1035 nucleotides. The record is from Ensembl. Lineage: Eukaryota; Metazoa; Chordata; Actinopteri; Siluriformes; Ictaluridae.
GACACGGCCAGCCAAGCUCCGCCCGCGCCCCAGUCCGCCGACACGGCCAGCCAAGCUCCGCCCAUGCCCAGGGUUCACCUAGUGACCUCAGAGCCUCAGCCUCCCUGUUCAGCCGUGGACGUCGCUCAGCCUCCCUGCUCCAUGGCAGAUAGCGUUCCCCCCUUCUGCUUCAAGGAGACCCACGCUCCUCUCCCUGGCCGCACAGAGACCCACGCUCCUCUCCCUGGCCGCACAGAGACCCACGCUCCUCUCCCUGGCCGCACAGAGACCCACGCUCCUCUCCCUGGCCUUACAGGGGACUUCGCUCUGCCUCCCAGUUUAGCUGGGGACGUCACUCCACUUUCAUGCUCCGACGAGGACGUCGCCCUGUUUCCCUGCUCCGCCGAGUACAGUGCUCUGUUUCCCUGCUCCGCCGAGUACAGUGCUCUGUUUCCCUGCUCCGCCGAGUACAGUGCUCUGUUUCCCUGCUCCGCCGAGGUCGUCGCUCAGCCUCCCUGUCCAGCUGAGGUCGUCGCUCAGCCUCCCUGUCCAGCUGAGGUCGUCGCUCUGCUUCCCUACGCCGCCAAGAACACCGUGCAGUUUUCUGGCUCUGCUCGGGACAUUCAGCCCAGGGGGCCGGGGCCGCCAAUGAAAUGGGAUGACUCAUGGCACUCCGGGAGGAGUGCCUUUGGGGGGGGUUCUGUCACGAUUCCCCCUUGAAGCAGCGUGCUCUAAGCGCGAAUGCGCGAGCAUCUGCUUUUCCGCUGUUGACCGUAGUGACAUUGGGACACGUGUGUUUUGUUUAUGUCUGUCAUGUCUCCUCCCUGUUCCGUCAUUGGCUGGGAAUUCACGUGGGUCUGAAUUGCUCUCAGCUGAUAGCAGUUGAGGCGCUGAUCAUGUCGGCAUAUAUAGCACGCGUCUCCCAGCACACAAGGUGGAAGAUUAAGAAGUCGUAAGUAGUAAGUAAAUGGUUAGUUAGUUUAGUUCGUAGCGUAUUCAUAGUCACGGUUCAUGUUAGAGUUAGUUUAGUUUGCGUCACAGUCAUAGUCAUAGUCA